CUCUCUCUAGCUGGCUCUCCAGCGGCUUGACCAACAGCGAGUUGUUAUUCAGCGUCACUUCACCGCUGGCGUUAACCAGCUCACCGUCCAACGGAAUAUUCAGAUGUAAGCGCCCACUUACAUUGCCACCCACCUGCAGCUCAUCUAAUGCCGCCCCGACAGAGUCAUCCAGUGGGGUCUGCAUGAAAUAGUCGUGGAUAGCUUGCCCGGUCCCCGCAACGUCGGCAUCAAUCAACAGGCGUUGUUUGCUAUAGUCCGGAAUGACGGCGCUAAUGUUUCUGCCCGUCGCAUUGCCCAGUUUGGUUUGCGGCGCAUUCAUCCACAGGCCAUUGUUGGCAAAGUCGAGGUCGAUCGCCAGAUCGUCCAGCGCUGGCCAUUCCGGCUGGAACUGGAAGGUAGCAUGGCGUAGUGGGACA
This 416-nucleotide non-coding RNA is filed under the name Serratia fonticola. Lineage: Bacteria; Pseudomonadati; Pseudomonadota; Gammaproteobacteria; Enterobacterales; Yersiniaceae. The record is from RNAcentral.